AUUGAACGCUGGCGGAAUGCUUUACACAUGCAAGUCGAACGGCAGCACGGACUUCGGUCUGGUGGCGAGUGGCGAACGGGUGAGUAAUGUAUCGGAACGCGCCCAGUCGUGGGGGAUAACGUAGUGAAAAUUACGCUAAUACCGCAUACGAUCUAUGGAUGAAAACGGGGGAUCGCAAGACCUCGCGCGAUUGGAGCGGCCGAUAUCAGAUUAGGUAGUUGGUGGGGUAAAGGCCCGCCAAGCCAACGAUCUGUAGCUGGUCUGAGAGGACGACCAGCCACACUGGAACUGAGACACGGUCCAGACUCCUACGGGAGGCAGCAGUGGGGAAUUUUGGACAAUGGGCGAAAGCCUGAUCCAGCCAUUCCGCGUGCAGGAUGAAGGCCCUCGGGUUGUAAACUGCUUUUGUACAGAACGAAAAGGUUUCUACUAAUACUAGGAGCUCAUGACGGUACUGUAAGAAUAAGCACCGGCUAACUACGUGCCAGCCGCCGCAGUAA
RNAcentral lists this ribosomal RNA (500 nucleotides) under uncultured bacterium. RNAcentral's name for it is "partial 16S ribosomal RNA". It matches the Rfam family "Bacterial small subunit ribosomal RNA", at positions 30 to 523 of the family's 1533-position model. The record is from RNAcentral.